AAAAAGGGCUUCUGUCGUGAGGGGCAUAGGUAGAGAAGCUUGAUUGCUCUACAUGUGGAAUCGACAUCAAGAGAUUUCAGAAGCAUAAUUUUUUGGAACUUGGGCAGCUGGUGAUCGUUCGUCCCGGCGCCCAC
Molecule: small nuclear RNA, 134 nt
Organism: Myotis lucifugus (little brown bat)
Lineage: Eukaryota; Metazoa; Chordata; Mammalia; Chiroptera; Vespertilionidae
Product: U11 spliceosomal RNA
Source: Ensembl